UAACUGUAAUUGCAAAGUUUUUACAGCUAGACACGAGGAGUACGCCUAUGAGGCCCCCGAACCUCUGGCCACCAAGCGCUCGCAAGGACAAUGCACAUGCAACCCGUCCAUUUGUCGGAUGGCCGAGGUAACGGGGAUGCGGGAGGUCCCGCAGGAUUCCUACGGAGGAGGUGGAACUACGUCCCCACAACGUGUGCAAUAAAUAUGAAUAACGAGCACAACGUGAGAGGCACACAAAGUAAAAACGAGACCGCACUCGGCAUCACAGUGUGGCAGUGAAAAGGCAGAUUCAGCAGGGCAUCACGGCCACCCUGGCCAUCCAGCCCACACUCUACACCAAAUCCUUGGAGAGCAUCCAACCUCAUUGUUGGCGACACGCGGCGGCAAAUAUUUGCUUCUGCCGCUGCCUUUUGUUUAAAUCUUGUUUAUGCAACAUGCAUGGCAUAUAUUAAGAAGUGCCGACCAGACUCGAGUGUCAAGCAAAUGUCCAGCAGCGCUCUGAUUUACACCCGGGUAGAAUUACACCACCAUGUGGAUCUGGAGAUGGGAGUGCUCCAAGUGUCGCUUCGGUUAACAGAUUGCUCUGCGGGUUGGUUACAUUUGUGCAGGCCAAGGAUUUCAGUUGGAUUAGGCGACAUCAUAUAAUCGAAUUGGAUGGUGCACAUGACUUUUGUGCACCUCCCUUUUCCAACUCUUUUCCAAGGACGUGUGCCCUAGUUGAAAGUAUAUAUAGUU
This is a non-coding RNA of Drosophila melanogaster (fruit fly), 735 nucleotides long. The record is from Ensembl. Lineage: Eukaryota; Metazoa; Arthropoda; Insecta; Diptera; Drosophilidae.